This 157-nucleotide ribosomal RNA is filed under the name Ixodes loricatus. RNAcentral's name for it is "partial 16S ribosomal RNA". The record is from RNAcentral. Lineage: Eukaryota; Metazoa; Arthropoda; Arachnida; Ixodida; Ixodidae.
CCCUGAUGCACAAGGUACUUCAAAUAAACUUUUUUAAUUUUUAUUUUUCAAAAUUUUCAAUUUUCCUUUUCAGUCCUACAAAACUUUUUAUUUAAAUCCUAUACAUAUUUUAUAUACCUUUUUCUUUCCAAUCUUCCAACAAAAUUUAUUAAAAAAA